This 421-nucleotide ribosomal RNA is filed under the name uncultured bacterium. RNAcentral describes it as "bacterial SSU rRNA". It matches the Rfam family "Bacterial small subunit ribosomal RNA", at positions 356 to 774 of the family's 1533-position model. The record is from RNAcentral.
GAGGAAUAUUGGGCAAUGCCCGCAAGGGUGACCCAGCAACGCCGCGUGGAGGAUGAAUGUCGUAAGAUUGUAAACUCCUGUUAGAGGGGAAGAAUAGUACCGGUUGGACCGGUAUAUGACUGUACCCUCAGAGAAAGCCCCGGCUAACUACGUGCCAGCAGCCGCGGUAAUACGUAGGGGGCAAGCGUUGUCCGGAUUUACUGGGUGUAAAGGGCGCGCAGGCGGGAUAAAAAGUCAGUGGUGAAAUCCUAAAGCUUAACUGUAGAACUGCCUUUGAUACUUUUAUUCUUGAGUUCGGGAGAGAGAGACGGAAUUCCAGGUGUAGUGGUGAAAUACGUAGAUAUCUGGAAGAACACCAGUUGCGAAGGCGGUCUCUUGGUCCGACACUGACGCUGAGGCGCGAAAGCGUGGGGAGCAAACA